CUUGUGCUCCAAAUUUGGAAUGCAAUUUACCCCUUUUUUAAAAUGUGUAUUUGUAUAUGCACUUUUUGUAAUAACAAACUACAGUAUCUGUUUUUAGUCUACUACUAGAACUGAACAAAUUACUACUGAAUUGUAGAUACAUUUUAGUAGGUCAACCAGAGACAGGUUUUGUUAUUUUGAAUAGUGCAUAUACUCCUAUUCAUUAGUAAGUACAUAGCACUUCCAUGUUGGUACAAUAGUAAUACACAUGUAAUUACAGUAGAAUAAUGAUAUAGCAUGAGCAUUACAGUAGCUAUUACCAUACAGGCUGGAAUAGAAUUAUUGGCUUUAGAAUUGUUUCAUAUGCUAUUGUUCAUUAUUUUUAUUUCCCUACAGGAAACCUCAGAGUUCAUCCUAGGCCGAACAACAGCAACAUUGACCUUCCAGCAGAGUCUUUUCAACGGGAAAUGACUCAGGGUCCUCUGAAUCAGGAGCUCUCAAGAAGCAAAGCAGGUGCAUUCCAGGACAAGCAGGCUGCAGACACGUCACCGGAUGAGGGGCCCUCAUCAGAGAUGCCAGAUAUCAUCGCAAAACGAAAGUUCAAGCAACCAAACUUGGAUUUAGAAAACAAGUGAUGCUGUGCCCAACUUCACAGUGUCCAUAACAUCCCCUUGAUCUCUCACACUCCUUUGGCCUAUGGAUACAAUGUUGGUACUUUGGAGUACAAAUAAGCCCAGCUCUUCAGAGCUGUCAUCUUUGAAAUGAAGACACCACAGUCCCUCUCUCAACACUGUCUUUCUUUUAGAUGCUUUCUCUCCAUUUCCAGCUCAAUGACGCGCGUCAUGAACACUCCAUUCUCAGCUUCCAGCACUGGUUGGUGCCAUGUAAUGAGUACCAAAAACACUUGAGAUUCUCCAGCACAUCACUGUGUCCCUUAACUCUCAACAUUUUAGUGACUUUUUCACCAUGAGACAUAGAAACAACUUCAUUAAUAUGGUUAUCUUUUCCUAUUUCUUUCUUUACUAAAUGUAUUGUAUUGUAUUGUAUUUACUGCAUGUGUUGAUAGGGUUAAUAGAUGUUAAAAUGCUAAACAGCUCAAUAAAGAACACUA
Molecule: long non-coding RNA, 1090 nt
Organism: Acipenser ruthenus (sterlet)
Lineage: Eukaryota; Metazoa; Chordata; Actinopteri; Acipenseriformes; Acipenseridae
Exons: 3
Source: RefSeq, a predicted model, not a curated record